AAAAUAACACAUGUGAAGUAGACUGAAAUUUUAGCACCCUAUUUUCAACUAAAAUAGAAUUUGCUUUGUUAUGAAAAUUAUCCUCAUUUCUUGGAUAAUAAAUAUCGUCGAUAUUUUUAAUAUUAAUGAAGCACAUUAUUAGGAACAAAGGGCCCAAAAAAAUAUCACCAAUUUCUUCGAUAAUAAAUUUUUGAGCAUAUUAUCAAGAACAACCAAAUUUUUUUAUAGGAGGGUGUAUAUAGAAAUAUUUGUGUUACAUGGGAUAUAUAUAGAAAAUUUCACUAAAAGGGCCAAAAAUACUAACAGAUGUCAGCCCAUUCCUUUAUCAUGUCAAAGUUUGGGCCUUUACAGAGAAUUUUUCUAUACAUAUCCCCCGAAAUCCAAAUAUUUCUAUAUACACCCCCUUACCUUAAAGAUUUUUUGGGCCCCCUACCGGCAUGGGCCCUAGGCCGUCGCACUCGCGGCCUAUGCCCUAGGGCCGGCCCUGAAAGCAAAACGCCACUGCACUCUCCACAACUGAAGCUGAGUAUGUCUCUGCAUCAAGUUGUUCUCAAGUUUUGUGGAUCAAAAAUCAAAUGGAAGAUUAUUCACUAAGGUACACAUGUAUUCCUAUUUUUUGUGAUAACACUAGUGCUAUAAAUCUUUCUAAAAAUCAAAUACAACAUUCUAGGUCUAAGCAUAUUGAAAUUAAGCCCACCAAACAUAUUCCUAAAAAUCCAAUACACCACCAAACAUAUUCCUAUUUUUAAUUUAUUUUUUAAAAAAAUAAAUUAAAUUGUCAAGAUAUACAUUUUUGACAAAAAAAACUUUUGAAUUAUGUUACUCGAGCAAACGAGUUGAACCUAACGAGCCGAACCGAGUUGUUCGUGAACAUUAAACGAGCCAAACUCGAGCUAAGAAAAAGGUUUGUAUCGAAUUCGAGUUGAGUUUCGAGCUGAGCCGAUUCUUAUCGAGUCGAGUCGAGCUCAGACAAGGUCGACUCGACUCGUUUCCAGCCCUACUUAUCAUUUAAAAAGUGGAACAAACUAGAUGAUUAUAUUUAUACUUACUUUUUCAUCAUUCCAAUUAUACCCUUAAACAACUUUAUCUAUAAUAAAAUUGUUAUUGGUGUCAUUAAAAAAAUAAUUUAGAAUAUAUUUUUUUUGUUUUUGUUAUAUUGAAUUAUUGUCGGCGUCGUUGAAAUACAUAAUAAUGGUUAGUUUGAUUUUUUAUAACUUGAAAGCAACAACCAUUUACAUUUUUUUAACAUUUAAUCACAAUCAAAAUUACCUAAAAAAACCGUUCAUAAUUUUCAAACAUUAGCGCAAAAAAAAAAUUGAAAAGACGGGCAGUCGUUAGUAUUUAUAAAAUAGAAUAAAAGGAACGAAGUCCACAUGGAAGAAUAUCAUUCCAUAGUUAUAGGCUGUAAACGAGUCCCACAUCGGAAAUCUUGUGAAAUGUAGAGAGUGAAUGUGUUAUAAAAGAAACGUAUGACGACCUUACUUUACGACACUCCUUGGCUGAUGCCUAGGAACAAUUUCAGUUUGUUUGAGUUGCAGUGUUGAUUUUGGAUUGGGGCUUUAUGCCUUAGACUAAUUGUCUUGCCUUUUGUUUUUAAUGGAUUAAAUGUGGUUUUCUUUUGGAAUAUGUUUUGUUAAUCUAGUGUAUUUGGUAGUUGACAAAUAUAUAAUCGUUUUGUUAUGUUAUUGAGUUAAUAGUGUUUUAUCCUCCAGUAAUAUAUGUUAUUUUUGGUUUUUUUUUUCUGUAAAUUUUUUUGUUUAGUUUCCAUCCUUGUAAUUUGUAGAUUUUUGAUUUUGGACCUUCAUGAAUUUUGACUGUACAAAAUAGAUGAUAUGGCAGGGUCGUAAACCGAAAUUUGCUCAAAUUAGCAAGAGGGUAAAUCAAAAUUUUCAAAUUAUAAGGGGGUAAGCCGAAAUUUGAAUAUUUUACGGGGGCGAAAUUUGUCAUGAAGAUCCAAAACCAAAAAAUCUUCAAAUUAUAAGGACGGAAACUAAACAAAAAAUUUUACAGAGGGGAAAACCGGAAUAAAGAAUAAAGAAUUUAUCUCUAUAAAAAAUAAAGAAUUUGAUAUUAAAUUAAAAUAUAAAAAUAUUCGUAACUAAUUUAUUGGAAUUAGAAUAUUUUAAAAUCAAAUUUAUGCAAGUUUAUCUCCAUCAUAUUUCACCGGUUUUUCCUAGAUUACCCUCUCUUGUUUAUGGGGUAUUUAUCCCCUCAUGAUAUCAAACAAUCAAAAUGUAACAUACAUUGACAACAUUAAAUGUCAAAUAAAUGAGUCAAUUUUUUCUUAAAAAAAAUCAAUUUUAAUCAUAAGGUAACUUUUAAUACUUUCAAUUUUUAUUUAAUUAUAGACAAGAUUACAUUAGAGGUCAUUUAUCUAAUUUAUUUAACACUUUGAUACUUUAUCUUUAUUUUUCUUCCGUUUAGGUCUUUUAUCUCUCAUAAAAGCACAUAUACAUCAUUUUUCUAUUAAAAAAAUACAUAAUUUUAUUUUUUAAAAUAUAUUUUUAUUAAAAAUGAAAAAAAAAAUCCAGAAAUAUGAUGAAGAUGUUCAUCAUCUUCAUCUUCUUCCUUUGAAUCGUCAUCAUCUUCAUUGAAUCAAAAAAAAAUCUACACAAAUAUAUCUCCAAAUAUCAUGAAUUAAUGUUAUGUUCACAUCAAAUCUUCUUUUAGACACAAAAAUCAAAAAUCAAAACCCUAUAGAGAAAGAGAUUUAGUUUCAUCACAAAAAAAAAAAAAAAAAUUGUUAUAUAAAUUGUCGCACCGUAUAUUAUUAUUAUUAUUUUCUAACUCAAUAUUCAAACCUGACAUAAAAAUAACCCCAAAAUUGAGAGCAGCUUUGCACAACAAUUUUAUUGUUUCCAGAACAAUCUUAACUUUCGUAAAGCCUAACCUUCCGCCAGCGACUAAGCUUCCAUCAUCCGCCUUGCAACAUUUGUGAAAUUAAGGUUUUGAUUUUUGUACUUAAAAGAAGAUUUGAGGUGAAUAUAACAUUAAUUCACGAUAUUUGGAGAUAUAUUUUAGUAGUAUUUUUUAUUUAUUUAAAGAAGAUGAUGAACAUCUUCAUCAUAUUUCUGGAUUUUUUUCAUUUUUAAUAAAAAAUUAUUUUAAAAAAUAAAAUUAUGUAUUUUUUAAUAAAAAAAAUGAGAAAAAAGAUGUAUAUGUGCUUUUAAGAGAGAUAGAGGACCUAAACGGGAAAAAAUAAAGAUAAAAAACUAAAGUGUUACAAAUAAAUAAGAUAAAGGACCCCUAAUGUAAUCUUGCCUUAAUUAUAAUUAGGUGUUCAAUCUUAAUUAAUUUACACUACAUGAUUGGCUUAGAACAAUUAAAAUUUCACAUCAACUUUAUUUCAUCUGAAUGUCCUUAAAUUUAUCGGUUACAUUCAUAAACUUUCUUCUUCCCAUUUCUAUUGUUCAAUUUUGUCGUUCCAAACUGCCGCAACUUUCAAUUUUCAUGAGAAUUGUUGUCGUUCGUUUGAUUCCAAAUAUCGUGAGAAUUUCCAUUAUUUCCAUGACCGCGUCAGGUAUGGUGACUUGAUUAUUCUUUUUUAUUUGAUUUUUCUUGGUUGUGAGGUAGUUAAUUCUAACAAUCGAGUAAGGCAUCUGUUGUACGUUAUGGACUGCUAGCUAACAGGUGUUGCCACUGUGAUGUUUUGGGAGUUUUCUAGCAUUUUUUUCGGUUGCUCCUGAAAUGGUUAAGUCAUGAGGCUUUUGUUCUGACUUAAAGGCUUUAGCUGAUAGUGAAGCAGGUCUAUGCGUGUUGGCAGAUUUUAUUAAGUUGGCUGCUUAAAUAAAAAAAAUCAAGUCACGAUACCUAACACGAUUCUAGAAACAACGACAAUUCUCACUAUAAUUGGAAACUGCGGCAGUUUGGAACGACAAAAUUGAACAAUUAAAAUGGAAAGAAGAAUGAAAGAAACAAAAAUUGAUCAAUAUGGAAGAAUAAAGAAGAAGAAAUUUGAAUGAAGGAGAUGUUUUUGUUCUCACGUUCGGGGUGUUCUGGGUUCUAGAAUGGAAGAAAUUUUAUGAAUGUAUGUGAUGACUUUAAGGACAUUCUGUAUUAAAAAUUAUCUUAUGAUUAAGACUAACUCUUUUAUUUUUAGAAAGAAAAAAAAAUCGACUCAUUUAUUUGACAUUUAAUGUUAUCUAUGUAUAUUACAUUUUAAUUGAGUUGAUAUCAUGAGAGAGUAAUUACCUUAAAUAAGAGAGGGUAACGUAGACCUGACCUAUUUCACCUCUCUAUUUGGAAAAUGCUUGAUAACCAACCACUCUUUUGUAAUUUAAGGACUUUCCAAGCUUCCUAUUUUAUAACAAAUGUUGCACAUAUUUACCCGUUAACUUAAUAAUGAUAAAAGUUAAAAUUUGAACCUAUAAAAAAAAAUUACAAUCUACCAAGAUAUGUACCACAUAUUUGUCCAUUAUCUUAAUUGUAACAAGAGUUUAAUAUGCUUCAUCCUCGAUUCGUUUGCAUAUUAGCAGGUGUUUGAAUAUUAGUCAACAAGAUAAAUAAGAAUGCUUGUAUGUAUACAUGACACGAUUUCUCUCAACUACAAACUUCUGAGUAGAAAGAACAAAACAAGAGAAAAUUUGCAAUCAUAAAAGAUGUUAGGGGGCUAUAUCAAGUGGUUCAAUGAUCUAAAAGGCCAAUAUGUAAAUGACAGAUACGCUUUCGAAAAUUAUAAAACUCAACUUACCAUAACAUAAUCAUAAUAGGGGUUGAAUUAAACACAAAUUCUUAAUAGACAUUGAAUUAAAGCUUAAUAUAUGCUUUGGUCCCUUAAUUUAUUUUUUAAUUUUAUUUUGGUCUCUUAACUUUAAACCGUCUCAAUUUGGUCCAGUGGCGGUUCUACCGUAUGGCGACCCCGGGCGGUCGCCCGGGCUCGAUCGAUAAUUUUUGCACAUUAAACUCAACCAAAAAGUCCAUUAACACAUUUACAAAAGGAAAAAUUUGGGCAAUCUGAAAAUUGUCACACGUAAAUAGGUCUUGGAAUUUUAUUUAGCACACUAUUGACGGGUUUAUCUCUCUUAUUUUAACGGGUUAAUUGUUCAAAUUUACUCUGUAAAAUACUUUAUGUUUGAAAAAUGACCCAAUAAAAUAUAAAACAUAUAUUCUAGCAUUGUAACUUGAAUUUCUUCUUAUUUAAUUUUGACCACCCUAUAAUAUAUGUGUAGUCUAAAAAUGUGACCUACAGGUUGAAUUUUUUCAUUAUUUUUUCCAUACAUGUUUAGCACGUUAAAAUAUAGCUUUACACAAAAUUAAAUUUCUUCGACUAGGGAUAAAUUAAUUAUGAAUUUUUAUUCCCUCAUAAUUAUGAAUUUCUUAAACAAUUUAUAAUUAAUUUAUAUCUCAUUUAAAAAUUACAAAAUUUCAUCGUGAAGGUUCUUAUCAUGUUCUAGUCAUGCCUACAAAAUUAGGGAACUAAAUUUUCUUGUGAGUAUACGCUUACGCGGAACAAAAUUUCAAUUUGGCACGUUUCAGUUGAAAAAUCAAAAUAAAUUUAAACGACUUCGAAAUGCUAUGAAACUUUACAGAUCCUUUUUAUCUAUUUUUAUAGAUGUCUCUGCAAAUAAUCAGCUCAAAAUUCGAUUUAUAGAUCGAGAUUUCUGUUGUUUUGUUUUUUGAGCUUUUGACACUUUAAAAAUUCAUAAUUAAUUUGUCGUUUGUCGAAAAUUUAUAAUUUUUUUGUUAAAGCCAUAUUUUAACGUUCUUAACUCGCCUCUAGGAAAUCAUGAAAAAAUUCAAUCUCUCGGUUGCUUUUUUGGACUUCGCGUAUAUUACAGGUUAUAAAUAAUAAAAAUCUCGAAUUACAUUGUCAGAAUACAUGUUAUUUAAUUACAUGGUCAAUUUUCAGACUUCACGUAUAUUGCGUGGUCAAUUUCAAUUAAUAAACCUAUUUUAAAUUGCACUUUUGUUGACAAAAUGAUAAACCUCUUUUAUUUCAAUUUUUUUUUAGGAAGAAAAAUAAAAAAUAAAAAAAUUUCGAUUUUUUUUAGGAAAAAAAAUAAAAAAUAAAAAAAUUUCGAUUUAUGACUGUUUAUAUAUUAUGUCACAUGUGAAUUUACGAUUAAUUUUUUGCCCGGCCUCCAUAAAUUUUCUGGCUCCGCCAUUGAUUUGGUCCCAUAACUUUGCCUCUGUUUACCUAAGUGGUCCCUUCUGUUAAAAAAACUAACAGAAGGGACCACUUAGAUAAACGGAGGUAAAGUUAUGGAACCAAAUUGAGAUGGUUUAAAGUUAAGGAUUCAAAAUGAAAUUCAAAAAUAAUUUAAGAGGCAUAAGCAUGUAUUAAGCCUUGAAUUAAACACAAAUUCUUAAUUGUAUAUGACUGUUUGACUAUCUUGAAAACAGAAAUGCUAGCAAUACUGUCCGAAUCACCCAUCUUCCCACAUAUUUUCUAUAAUGGGUUGAAUUUAUGUGGAACCUAUAUAAUUUGGUCGGAUCCAUUUGAAUUCCUUUCAAUAAAAGGACGCAUUACAAUACAUUUUCUGAGUUCUUUCCGCAUAACUCAAUCUGAAUCUAGAAUACAUAGUCGACAAAAAAAACUUUCCUCAAAAAAAUAAAACAUAAAAAACUAUCAUUCAUGUUUAAUUCAGUUGCACAAAACAGAACAAAUUGAGAAUUUGAGAUAAUAAUACAUUUGUAAAAAAUUACAGAUUAUACAUGCAGGUAUAGAAACAUAAAACUGGAAGACACUUGAUGCUAAUUAAAAUUGGGCAAGAGCAAUGUAUUUCUUUACACAUUGAAAAACGCAAAGUGCAUUUCGAUGUUCAACAAUGGAAAAAUUUUGACACCAUAAGGAUUGUUUCAGCUUCUGAAUUGUAUAACCAUAGAUUGCUUGCACACUAUUUUUGUACUCCUAAUGGUUAGUACUAAUAUAACUUGGCCUUCUGAAAGUGCAUUUAGAUAUUUCCUCUGUACUAUUGUCAUUUUUCCGAAAAACUAAAGUUGAACAUUUUCAAUUACAGCUUCUGGUUUGUGUGGCCUGUCGGCUGUAAUAAAUGAUACAAUAUUCUUUUAAUCAUGAUCUAAUCUGAAAUCCAUCGUAAGAAACACGGCAGGAGAUGGAAAAAAACUGGUACAAUUGAAAUCCAAUCUGCUACAUGCAUUCAUUUGAGCUAUUGAGUCUCUAAAGCUUUCUAGUUUAAUAUGAUUUGUUGAUUGUAUUAGAAUAUGUCUAUAUUCUCUAAAGCUAUUGAGCGAUUCCACAUAUCAGAAUUGGUAGCCUUAAGGUCAGCCGAUGCUUUGAUGGCCUGUUCAUCCGACGGCGGGACGAUGUGGUCAAGCAUGUUGUGAACGCGUGCUUGUACCUUGAAGAGAGCAGACCAUGCGAGGUAGAGGUUAGUGUCAUUUUCCAACGUUAUAGGGAUGAUGGUUUUGACGUUAUUGAUGGAGAAAGCGGAGUGAAAUUUUGGAGCCGCCGUUGGACGAGGGACAGAUUGAGUGACUGAUGAAUGUUCAUCAGAAUUUUGAGGAGGGGGGGUUGCUGCUGCCAUGGUAAAGUAGAAGGGAAAUGGCGACGGUGAGAAGAGAAGGGUUAGGUUUGGAUCGGAAGAGGUGAUACCAUGGAAUUUCGAAAUAUGUCUCUCAUGUAGCAGAAUAUGGUGGAGAAUAUGUCUUUAAUAAUUUUCGAAAUAUGUGUUAACUUAAUGGAAUUUCCUUUCGUCUCUCAUGUCCUUAUACCUCUCAUCAAAAUGGUAAAGUUGAGUGAUGACAGUCAGUCAUACACUAUUUUUAGGGUCACUUUUACAUAAGUUUCAGUCUAUUUUAUUAGUUUAGUAUUUAAUUUAGAGUCAAUUUGAAUAAGUAUUGUUUUUUGGUUUAUUGAGUAAAGCAAGGAAACUAUUGAAAUUAAUGGGUUAUUAUCAUGAUUAUUGGUUAUAUGAUCAAACAAGAGCAAAACAAGUAGUGCAAAAAGCAAAUGCUUUGAGAUUCAUUAAUUGAUGGGCCAAUAGAAAAUCAAGAUGGCUUGACUAAAAAGAAAGAAAAACGGAAAAGGCAGCUUGAGGAGAAAGUAAGGAAACUAGGUCACAUGAGUGUAUAUAAGAAGAAGAAACACACACAAAUAUGCAUUCACGUUUCGGCACAUUGGAAUCACGUUUUGGAAAAAGAAAAAGAGCCGCACAGAAGGAAUCAAGCCAGGAAGCACAUGAUAAUUGGAGGACAACAACAGCACCGUGAGAUAUAAAUUGUGGAGCAAAGCCGGCAACGACGGAACUCUACGGUUUAUUUUCUUUAUUAUGUUGUUUAUUCCUUUGAUCAUGUCUAGCUAAUUUCCUUGUUGAUUAAGUCAUGAUGAACCUAUUGUAAUAUAUGAAUCAGUAAAUUAUUAAUGUUAUUCAGUCUUUAUUCAGAAUUACUUGUGUUCAUUGUUUUUCAGAUAAUUGUUUUGUAUGAUUAUUAACCCUAGCUUCGUGCAAUUACAUGAAUUGAUAUUAGGAAUUGAAUGACUAUUAACCCUAGCUUUUAAUCCUGAAAUAGUAAUCAUGUUUGAUUCAACAUAGGAACCUAGAGAUAGGAAAUUGAGGAUCAUGACUCAUGAAUUAACGUUCUUUUAUCGCUUCCGCGGUUAUUCAAUCGGUUUAAGAGAUUAAAAGGUUAUAGCUUAGGAAAGGGUUUUGAGUCAAGAGAUUGAUCAAAUCUACUUAGUUAAUUUGUCGUAAAGAUUGAAUAGUAAUUAGGAAUAAAGGAGGUAAACUUCUCAUAUGAUUCAUCGGUUUAAUCAUCCUUUUCAAAUCAUCUUUCAACAACUUUUAUUACUUUUUAUCCACACAAACCUACUGCCUCAGGCACUUAUAAAAUUUACACAUCCUAGAUAUUAACUUUAUUGCUAAGUUGAGAUUAACACAGUCCUCGUGGAUACGAACUUAUUUUAUUACUUCGAUAGUUUUAGUACACUUGCUAAAAGUUUAUCAUUGAGCGAAAAAUACGAUCCAUUAAUAACAUUAUUCGAACUUUAUUAAUUCAUGCAUUCCUACCUCCAUCAUUUUGGCAAUAUGCUCUAGAAAUGGCCACAUAUAUCUCUAACAUUUUACCAAGCAAAUCAAUCAACUUUCAGUCACCCGUUUCCAUGUUAUACAACAAAAACCCAUCAUAUACUGAUUUACGCAUUUUUGGAUAUUUCCCUUCAACUUAACAAAAUAAAUUGCAUUCUUUAUUUGAUAUACACGAAUAGUUGAAGGGAACUCUCCGAAAAAAUAAUGGAUUAUGGGAGUGUGUGACUUGAACUAUUGAUUGGGCCGUGCAGUAUGACUUGAUCUUAUCUGCCACAUUUGAAUUCACAAUUAAAUGUGUCUUUUUUCCAACCACCGUGCCAGUCCCCUACGGAUGAUAGGCCGGUUCGCUUGAAGAGAAUCUUUUCUAUGAUCAGACUGUAUCAUAUCCUGCAUGAAUAGGCUUCGUAAUAUCCAGUAAUAUAAGCUAAGUAAUGUGAUAUAAUCCGAAUUAUGUUUCUGUAUUUCACUUAACUUAAUAGUAUGGAAAUGCAGUCAUUUCCUAUGCAUUGACUCAAUUUAUGA
RNAcentral lists this long non-coding RNA (9509 nucleotides) under Medicago truncatula (barrel medic). RNAcentral's name for it is "long non-coding RNA (MTRU_LNC004802)". The record is from RNAcentral. Lineage: Eukaryota; Viridiplantae; Streptophyta; Magnoliopsida; Fabales; Fabaceae.